This 253-nucleotide ribosomal RNA is filed under the name uncultured bacterium. RNAcentral describes it as "partial 16S ribosomal RNA". It matches the Rfam family "Bacterial small subunit ribosomal RNA", at positions 524 to 776 of the family's 1533-position model. The record is from RNAcentral.
UACAGAGGUCUCAAGCGUUGUUCGGAUUCAUUGGGCGUAAAGGGUGCGUAGGUGGCGACCCAAGUCCAUGGUGAAAGCUCGAUGCUCAACAUCGAGUCGGCCACGGAUACUGGGUUGCUUGAGCACUGUAGAGGCUAAUGGAAUUCCGGGUGUAGCGGUGGAAUGCGUAGAGAUCCGGAAGAACACCGGUGGCGAAGGCGGUUAGCUGGGCAGUUGCUGACACUGAGGCGCGACAGCGUGGGGAGCAAACAGG